CAGCAGCCGCGGGAAUACGAAGGGGGCUAGCGUUGCUCGGAAUGACUGGGCGUAAAGGGCGCGUAGGCGGUUCACGCAGUCAGAUGUGAAAUUCCUGGGCUUAACCUGGGGGCUGCAUUUGAGACGCGUGGGCUUGAGUGUGAAAGAGGGUCGUGGAAUUCCCAGUGUAGAGGUGAAAUUCGUAGAUAUUGGGAAGAACACCGGUGGCGAAGGCGGCGACCUGGUUCACAACUGACGCUGAGGCGCGAAAGCGUGGGGAGCAAACAGGAUUAGAUACCCCCGUAGUCCCUGUCUCUUAUAC
Molecule: ribosomal RNA, 301 nt
Filed under: uncultured bacterium
Lineage: Bacteria
Description: partial 16S ribosomal RNA
Rfam family: Bacterial small subunit ribosomal RNA
Source: RNAcentral